Molecule: long non-coding RNA, 348 nt
Filed under: Nicotiana benthamiana
Lineage: Eukaryota; Viridiplantae; Streptophyta; Magnoliopsida; Solanales; Solanaceae
Description: long non-coding RNA (NBEN_LNC025110)
Source: RNAcentral
AGGAAACAAGCGGGCUUGUCAAAGAAAUUCUUCCAGCUGACUCAGUUGACAGUGCAACAAGAGUUGUGUUUGCAAAUGCAUUGUACUUUAAAGGAGCCUGGGAUGAGAAGUUCGAUGCAUCAAUGACUAAGGACAAUGAGUUCCACCUUCUCAAUGGGACCUCUGUUCAAGUGCCCUUCAUGACUAGCAAGAAGAAGCAAUACGUAAAAGCUUUUGAUGGUUUCAAGGUUUUGGGACUUCCUUAUAAACAGGGUGAAGAUAGGCGUCGUUUUACCAUUUACUUCUUUCUGCCUGAUGCCAAUGAUGGACUGCCAGCUUUGGUAGAUAAGGUCAGUUCUGAAUCCCAAU